GAUGAACGCUGGCGGCGUGCCUAGUACAUGCAAGUCGAGCGAACAGACGAGGAGCUUGCUCCUCUGACGUUAGCGGCGGACGGGUGAGUAACACGUGGAUAACCUACCUAUAAGACUGGGAUAACUUCGGGAAACCGGAGCUAAUACCGGAUAAUAUAUUGAACCGCAUGGUUCAAUAGUGAAAGACGGUUUUGCUGUCACUUAUAGAUGGAUCCGCGCCGCAUUAGCUAGUUGGUAAGGUAACGGCUUACCAAGGCAACGAUGCGUAGCCGACCUGAGAGGGUGAUCGGCCACACUGGAACUGAGACACGGUUCAGACUCCUACGGGAGGCAGCAGUAGGGAAUCUUCCGCAAUGGGCGAAAGCCUGACGGAGCAACGCCGCGUGAGUGAUGAAGGUCUUCGGAUCGUAAAACUCUGUUAUUAGGGAAGAACAAAUGUGUAAGUAUCUAUGCACGUCUUGACGGUACCUAAUCAGAAAGCCACGGCUAACUACGUG
Molecule: ribosomal RNA, 497 nt
Filed under: uncultured bacterium
Lineage: Bacteria
Description: partial 16S ribosomal RNA
Rfam family: Bacterial small subunit ribosomal RNA
Source: RNAcentral